RNAcentral lists this unclassified non-coding RNA (325 nucleotides) under soil metagenome. RNAcentral's name for it is "partial contains 5.8S ribosomal RNA, internal transcribed spacer 2, and large subunit ribosomal RNA". The stretch from base 1 to 120 matches the Rfam family "5.8S ribosomal RNA", at positions 35 to 154 of the family's 154-position model. The record is from RNAcentral.
GAUGAAGAACGUAGCGAAAUGCGAUAAGUAAUGUGAAUUGCAGAAUUCAGUGAAUCAUCGAAUCUUUGAACGCACAUUGCGCCCCUUGGUAUUCCGAGGGGCAUGUCUAUUCGAGCGUCAUUAUCACCCCUCAAGCCUAGCUUGGUGUUGGGGCUUGCUGUAAAGGCAGCCUCUAAAAUCAGUGGCAGUGCUGUCAGGCUCUAAGCGUAGUAAAUUCAUCGCUAUAGGGUCCUGGUGGAUACUCGUCAAAACCCGCCAUUUUUAAUGAUUGACCUCGGAUUAGGUAGGGAUACCCGCUGAACUUAAGCAUAUAAUAAGCGGAGGA